RNAcentral lists this ribosomal RNA (492 nucleotides) under uncultured bacterium. RNAcentral describes it as "partial 16S ribosomal RNA". It matches the Rfam family "Bacterial small subunit ribosomal RNA", at positions 28 to 507 of the family's 1533-position model. The record is from RNAcentral.
GGUGAACGCUGGCGCUAGGCCUAACACAUGCAAGUCGAACGGCAGCACAGUAAGAGCUUGCUCUUACGGGUGGCGAGUGGCGGACGGGUGAGGAAUACAUCGGAAUCUACUUUUUCGUGGGGGAUAACGUAGGGAAACUUACGCUAAUACCGCAUACGACCUACGGGUGAAAGCAGGGGAUCUUCGGACCUUGCGCGAUUGAAUGAGCCGAUGUCGGAUUAGCUAGUUGGCGGGGUAAAGGCCCACCAAGGCGACGAUCCGUAGCUGGUCUGAGAGGAUGAUCAGCCACACUGGAACUGAGACACGGUCCAGACUCCUACGGGAGGCAGCAGUGGGGAAUAUUGGACAAUGGGCGCAAGCCUGAUCCAGCCAUACCGCGUGGGUGAAGAAGGCCUUCGGGUUGUAAAGCCCUUUUGUUGGGAAAGAAAAGCAGCAGGUUAAUACCCCGCUGUUCUGACGGUACCCAAAGAAUAAGCACCGGCUAACUUCGUG